This 403-nucleotide unclassified non-coding RNA is filed under the name Hevea brasiliensis (rubber tree). The record is from RNAcentral. Lineage: Eukaryota; Viridiplantae; Streptophyta; Magnoliopsida; Malpighiales; Euphorbiaceae.
UCUACAAGGAACUUCACAAAGAAGAGUGAUGUCUACAGCUAUGGAGUGUUGCUCUUUGAACUUAUAGCUGGCAGAAAUCCUCAACAAGGUCUCAUGGAACAUGUUGAACUCGCAGCAAUGAAUACUGAGGGGAAAGUGGGGUGGGAGGAAAUCGUGGAUUCUCGUCUAGAUGGGAAAUUUGAUGUGCAGGAGCUGAAUGAGGUGGGGACUCUUGCAUAUAAAUGUAUCAACCGUGUACCCAAAAAACGGCCUUCCAUGAGGGACAUCGUGCAAGUACUCACACGGAUUAUCAAACUGAGGCACAAUGGAAGGCAUUAUCACAGAAGGUCCCUUUCGGCCACAGCGGAUGAGGUUUCCAUCGAUUUGGACCAACCAGAAAUCAAGACUCCAGUCUCCGAGUGCC